RNAcentral lists this microRNA (22 nucleotides) under Ptychodera flava. RNAcentral's name for it is "Pfl-Mir-4818-P6_5p* (star (passenger))". The record is from RNAcentral. Lineage: Eukaryota; Metazoa; Hemichordata; Enteropneusta; Ptychoderidae.
CCUUGCUAUCAUAUGCAAAGAG